Cyclopterus lumpus (lumpfish) is the source of this 696-nucleotide RNA transcript. It is a transcript of the gene named fibulin-1-like, with no coding region annotated. NCBI's taxonomy places the organism in Eukaryota, Metazoa, Chordata, Actinopteri, Perciformes, Cyclopteridae. The record is from RefSeq and is a predicted model, not a curated record. The transcript has 2 exons.
AUCCCAGAAUGCAUUUCGCACCAGCAACACGGAACAAUGGCGGACGAGAGAGACGACACAACUGUAAAUUGACAUUUUCGAAAUUGUCCAGAUUCAGCCUACUUAAAAAUAUGUUCGGAGAUGUGGGGACCUGAUAGCGGGACCGGGAAGUCUCGCCAGCACCGGGCGGUCAGCGCGUCCUCAGGUACCCAGAUAUAGACGAGUGUGCUGUUAACCAGGGGCUCGGUGCGUGUGCGGAGCAGUGCCAUAACGCACCAGGAUCCUACCGGUGCUCCUGCUCGUAUGGUUACACCUUAGCCGGAAACGACCACAGCUGCAUCGCAGAGUGUCCACCUGGCUACAGGAAGCAACCCACGGCAACAGCACCGGAGAAUUCAACUGCACAAGCUCUCAGGGAGGAUUGUGUCGGUAGGACAUAACGACAUGAAUGCUGAGUAUGUCCACCAUGUUUCUCCAAAGGAAUCCUCAAUAUAUUUCUGCGUGUCCACACAGAUAUAAAUGAAGUGCCAUGAGGAAGCGUGCGAGUGGCAGUGUGUCAACCUGCCAUUUCUUUCUUAAAACUGUAUUUUCCCCAAUUGAUUAAAAAAUGGAUUAGUUAAUAAUUGACCCAUUUGAAUUUCAGAUUCUUGUGUUUGUGUGUUUGUGUGUGUGUGUGUGUACAUAUAUUGUAAAUAAAUAAACAAAUCUGUGUGUUAA